GGCCGGGUGGUGUGAGGGGAUCUGGUGGUGCGGCUGCUUUGCCGGUGAAGCGAGGGAUGCCGCGUGUAGCAGUAACAUCAGCCGCUGGCUGCUAAAGGCGGGGAAAGCUCGCAUUGCCAAACUGCCCUCAGAGCUGAACUUCGUGCGCCGGAGCUGCGUCCCGCCUGUUUAUUGGACUGAUUUCUUAAUUUCUGGUUUCUUAAUUUCUGACCUCCCGGCUUCUCUUCACCUUUGCACCUGAAACACCAGACGCAUCUGUAGUGCCCUCGCAGCUACGGACUCACGGUCAGGGGUGAGGUGGGGUUAAGGAGCCGCUCUAGUCUAACAUCCCUGCAAGAACUGCUUAUCCAUGAAGAGAGCACCGGGGAAAGCGUGGGAGUGGCUGUGUGCUGCUGCAGAUGCUGCCGUGUUGAUGAGACGACGAGAAAGGAUUCAGGCGAGGUCCAUCCAGCAGUGAGUUCCUCCCCGCCACCAGCCCGGCUCAUCACAGCACUCGUGCUGCAGCCACCCUGCCAGAACCCCCUGGGUUAGGAACAGAAACAUUGCUGUGGAAGAAUUUAUUAAUGAGCUCAAGAUCGUGCCCCACUGAUGUGUCGCCGUGGCAGGGGAACAACCUGGAGAGAGAGCAUUGCCUUCCAUGCCAGCUGGAGUCCCUUGGACUUUGGUGAGAACUAACAUUAAAUGAGUCAAAUGCC
This is a non-coding RNA of Lonchura striata (white-rumped munia), 695 nucleotides long. NCBI's taxonomy places the organism in Eukaryota, Metazoa, Chordata, Aves, Passeriformes, Estrildidae. The record is from RefSeq and is a predicted model, not a curated record.